Long non-coding RNA from Malus domestica (apple), 1367 nucleotides. RefSeq lists it as uncharacterized. Lineage: Eukaryota; Viridiplantae; Streptophyta; Magnoliopsida; Rosales; Rosaceae. The record is from RefSeq and is a predicted model, not a curated record.
AGGGCUUCCAAAAUCUCCAACUCCCUAUUUUCAAAGAGAGCACGUUAACUCUCCCUCGUCAUUUUCAUUUCCCUCUAGCAGCUUCUCUGCCUUUCCUCUUCAGAAAUUUCCAAACGCCUCCACCUUUGCAUACUCGAGCCCAAUUCCACCUUUUCGGAAUCAUAAACAAAACCAUUUCUAAUUGCAAACCCGACGAGUUCCUCACGAACUCAUCCUCCCUUCCAUCAACUGCGCACUCAAGUUCGCAGCUUCUUCUGUAGGGUAAAAUCCCAAAGCUUGUUCCAAUAUGCUCAUGUAUGUGUUCUGUAUAUGAAAAUCCAUACGAGAAUUCCCUGAAAUUCAAUCACGGUGGUGGCUCCGGCGGCUUCUAUUUAGAUGAUAGGUAUGGGGGAUACAAUCGAAGCCUAUCUGAUUUGGGUUCGGAUCCAUAUGGGAAGCGGUAUGAUGCAGGUCCCGAUGCGGGUAUGGCGACGGUGUAAGCUUACGAAGGUGAUAAUUCCAUUCCUGCAAUGGCUAAUAAUCUCGCCCCAGCUUUAGACAAAAAAUUGGUUUUGCAUGAAGAUUCUAAAGAUGCAUCCUCCCAUAAAAAAUGAGGGUCACAAGAUGACAAGUCCCUGGUUGUUUGCUUUAGGGAAAUGCUAAUUGACUUUGUGCCCACCGUUGGUGGAGUUUCACUUGCUGAAGCACCUGCUUUUAAGAAAGCUCCUGGUGGUGCUCCUGCUAAUGUUGCUGUUGGAGUCGCAAGACUGGGUGGUUCAGCAGGUUUCAUAGGCAAGACAUGUAUUCGAACGAUGUUUUCUCUCAUAUCGCCUCGACACCGUUACAAGAUGUGAUAAAACCGACUCAUCUACCUUCGCCUUUUAGUCAAAGAGCUCUGUGGAUAUUAAGCCAAGACGUAUUAGAUUGCAGUCAAAUAGUUACACUGCCAAUACCCUUUUGGAUACAGUGACUACUGCAACUGUACAGGUCCCCGAUGAGGCAAUAACAAAAUGCAUGGCCUAUGGGUCAGAUUUUGGGGCUUUAUACAUCUCAGGGAGGCAGUAUAGAUCUCCAAAGAACUAAGAAUGGCGUAAAAUAGGUUCCUAAUUCCAGUUACCAGUUUCCAAAUCAUCUCCCCAUGUAUGAAACUGAUUUUGUUUAACUUGUCUCGAUGUCUUCAACUGGAGAAAUAGAAUUAACAAAUCCUAAGGCGAAAGUUCAUCACAUAGUGCUUGGUCCUGAUUGCUAGAAAUUUUGGGUAACUGUUGUCAGAGUGGAGAAUUUAUCUUUGUACCGCCCUACAAGUGAAUUUGUGUCCUAGAGGAUGCUAUAUCUAAUACAAUUGCUUGGCCAUCAAAGUAAGUUAGAGUUGGAAAGUAAUUUUAGUU